Papaver somniferum (opium poppy) is the source of this 566-nucleotide long non-coding RNA. RefSeq lists it as uncharacterized. The record is from RefSeq and is a predicted model, not a curated record. The transcript has 3 exons. Lineage: Eukaryota; Viridiplantae; Streptophyta; Magnoliopsida; Ranunculales; Papaveraceae.
AUAUGGUUUCAUUUGAAAAUACAAACACACUAAGAAUUAUCUGAAUUCGAAAAACUUUCACAGAACCAAAUUUCUUAAGGUUUCUAUUACCCAAUCUCAUACUAUCAAAAUGGCUUGUGGAUGUGGUUCUUCUUGUGCCUCUAACUGCAGCUGUGGAUGCAAGUCUGCUGCUAAGGAAAACCUCGAGGGAGGAUGCAAGUGUGGAGACAGCUGCUCAUGCACCGAUUGCAAGUGUUAAUGAAGAAAUGAUGAAGAUAAGGGAUAUUUUCCAUGUCGAAGAUCCUUGACAUCAUUUUACUACGGCGUGGUUUGUAUGUGUCUUUGAUGUUAGAAUAAAGUAGCUAUCGUUAGCAAUACUUGAGCUCAAGUGUUGUUAUGGCUACACAGUGUUUUUAUGUGCAAAACAGGAAAAAGGAAUUGUUUUGUGUAAAAGUGGUAAUGGGAGAUGUUUCACUCCUGUUGAUUUCUUUACGUCUACCUCUUUGUUUGGAGGAUUUGAAUUUUUAUCAAUCUUUUCUCUUUUCACUCCCCUAAUUGAUAAUAAACAGCUUAACUUUUAUAGUAAA